ACUGGAGGACUAAUUAGACUGAGUCUGAAGAGUGAGACUCAGGUGACAGAAGCCUCCUAAAAGAAAAGGGAUGGAGAGAGCGGUCCUACUUCCAGAAAAGCAACGGCUGACUGUGCCAUCCCACACAU
Molecule: small nucleolar RNA, 128 nt
Filed under: Apaloderma vittatum (bar-tailed trogon)
Lineage: Eukaryota; Metazoa; Chordata; Aves; Trogoniformes; Trogonidae
Description: Small Cajal body specific RNA 4
Rfam family: Small Cajal body specific RNA 4
About the family: scaRNAs are a specific class of small nuclear RNAs which localise to the Cajal bodies and guide the modification of RNA polymerase II transcribed spliceosomal RNAs U1, U2, U4, U5 and U12. ACA26 belongs to the H/ACA box class of guide RNAs as it has the predicted hairpin-hinge-hairpin-tail structure, conserved H/ACA-box motifs and is found associated with GAR1.
Source: Rfam by way of RNAcentral